This 2971-nucleotide ribosomal RNA is filed under the name Streptococcus pneumoniae. Its description in RNAcentral is "23S ribosomal RNA". It matches the Rfam family "Bacterial large subunit ribosomal RNA". Lineage: Bacteria; Bacillati; Bacillota; Bacilli; Lactobacillales; Streptococcaceae. The record is from RNAcentral.
UUAAGUUAAUAAGGGCGCACGGUGGAUGCCUUGGCACUAGGAGCCGACGAAGGACGUGACAAACGACGAUAUGCCUUGGGUAGCUGUAAGUAAGCGAUGAUCCAGGGAUUUCCGAAUGGGGGAACCCAACAGGUAGUACCUGUUACCCACAUCUGUUAAGGAUGUGAGGAGGAAGACGCAGUGAACUGAAACAUCUAAGUAGCUGCAGGAAGAGAAAGCAAAAGCGAUUGCCUUAGUAGCGGCGAGCGAAACGGCAGGAGGGCAAACCGAAGAGUUUACUCUUCGGGGUUGUAGGACUGCAAUGUGGACUCAAAGAUUAUAGAAGAAUGAUUUGGGAAGAUCAGCCAAAGAGAGUAAUAGCCUCGUAUUUUAAAUAGUCUUUGUACCUAGCAGUAUCCUGAGUACGGCGGGACACGUGAAAUCCCGUCGGAAUCUGGGAGGACCAUCUCCCAACCCUAAAUACUCCCUAGUGACCGAUAGUGAACCAGUACCGUGAGGGAAAGGUGAAAAGCACCCCGGGAGGGGAGUGAAAUAGAACCUGAAACCGUGUGCCUACAACAAGUUCGAGCCCGUUAAUGGGUGAGAGCGUGCCUUUUGUAGAAUGAACCGGCGAGUUACGUUAUGAUGCGAGGUUAAGUUGAAGAGACGGAGCCGUAGGGAAACCGAGUCUGAAUAGGGCGCCUUAGUAUCAUGACGUAGACCCGAAACCAUGUGACCUACCCAUGAGCAGGUUGAAGGUGCGGUAAGACGCACUGGAGGACCGAACCAGGGCACGUUGAAAAGUGCUUGGAUGACUUGUGGGUAGCGGAGAAAUUCCAAACGAACUUGGAGAUAGCUGGUUCUCUCCGAAAUAGCUUUAGGGCUAGCGUCGACAUUAGAGAUUCUUGGAGGUAGAGCACUGUUUGGGUGAGGGGUCCAUCCCGGAUUACCAAUCUCAGAUAAACUCCGAAUGCCAAUGAAUUAUGGUCGGCAGUCAGACUGCGAGUGCUAAGAUCCGUAGUCGAAAGGGAAACAGCCCAGACCACCAGCUAAGGUCCCAAAAUAAUUGUUAAGUGGAAAAGGAUGUGGGGUUGCACAGACAACUAGGAUGUUAGCUUAGAAGCAGCUAUUCAUUCAAAGAGUGCGUAAUAGCUCACUAGUCGAGUGACCCUGCGCCGAAAAUGUACCGGGGCUAAAACAAUUUACCGAAGCUGUGGAUACCUUUAUAGGUAUGGUAGGAGAGCGUUCUAUGUGUGAUGAAGGUAUACCGUGAGGAGUGCUGGAACGCAUAGAAGUGAGAAUGCCGGUAUGAGUAGCGAAAGACAGGUGAGAAUCCUGUCCACCGUAAGACUAAGGUUUCCAGGGGAAGGCUCGUCCGCCCUGGGUUAGUCGGGACCUAAGGAGAGACCGAAAGGUGUAUCCGAUGGACAACAGGUUGAUAUUCCUGUACUAGAGUAUGUAGUGAUGGAGGGACGCAGUAGGCUAACUAAAGCAGACGAUUGGAAGAGUCUGUCUAAGCAGUGAGGUGUGAAUUGAGUCAAAUGCUUAAUUCUAUAACAUUGAGCUGUGAUGGGGAGCGAAGUUUAGUAGCGAAGUUAGUGACGUCACACUGCCAAGAAAAGCUUCUAGCGUUUAANNNNNNNNNNNNNNNNNNNNNNNNNNNNNNNNNNNNNNNNNNNNNNNNNNNNNNNNNNNNNNNNNNNNNNNNCAUACUCUACCCGUACCGCAAACCGACACAGGUAGUCGAGGCGAGUAGCCUCAGGUGAGCGAGAGAACUCUCGUUAAGGAACUCGGCAAAAUGACCCCGUAACUUCGGGAGAAGGGGUGCUGACUUUAAGUCAGCCGCAGUGAAUAGGCCCAAGCAACUGUUUAUCAAAAACACAGCUCUCUGCUAAAUCGUAAGAUGAUGUAUAGGGGGUGACGCCUGCCCGGUGCUGGAAGGUUAAGAGGAGUGCUUAGCGUAAGCGAAGGUAUGAAUUGAAGCCCCAGUAAACGGCGGCCGUAACUAUAACGGUCCUAAGGUAGCGAAAUUCCUUGUCGGGUAAGUUCCGACCCGCACGAAAGGCGUAAUGAUUUGGGCACUGUCUCAACGAGAGACUCGGUGAAAUUUUAGUACCUGUGAAGAUGCAGGUUACCCGCGACAGGACGGAAAGACCCCAUGGAGCUUUACUGCAGUUUGAUAUUGAGUGUCUGUACCACAUGUACAGGAUAGGUAGGAGUCUAAGAGAUCGGGACGCCAGUUUCGAAGGAGACGCUGUUGGGAUACUACCCUUGUGUUAUGGCCACUCUAACCCAGAUAGGUGAUCCCUAUCGGAGACAGUGUCUGACGGGCAGUUUGACUGGGGCGGUCGCCUCCUAAAAGGUAACGGAGGCGCCCAAAGGUUCCCUCAGAAUGGUUGGAAAUCAUUCGCAGAGUGUAAAGGUAUAAGGGAGCUUGACUGCGAGAGCUACAACUCGAGCAGGGACGAAAGUCGGGCUUAGUGAUCCGGUGGUUCCGUAUGGAAGGGCCAUCGCUCAACGGAUAAAAGCUACCCUGGGGAUAACAGGCUUAUCUCCCCCAAGAGUUCACAUCGACGGGGAGGUUUGGCACCUCGAUGUCGGCUCGUCGCAUCCUGGGGCUGUAGUCGGUCCCAAGGGUUGGGCUGUUCGCCCAUUAAAGCGGCACGCGAGCUGGGUUCAGAACGUCGUGAGACAGUUCGGUCCCUAUCCGUCGCGGGCGUAGGAAAUUUGAGAGGAUCUGCUCCUAGUACGAGAGGACCAGAGUGGACUUACCGCUGGUGUACCAGUUGUCUUGCCAAAGGCAUCGCUGGGUAGCUAUGUAGGGAAGGGAUAAACGCUGAAAGCAUCUAAGUGUGAAACCCACCUCAAGAUGAGAUUUCCCAUGAUUAUAUAUCAGUAAGAGCCCUGAGAGAUGAUCAGGUAGAUAGGUUAGAAGUGGAAGUGUGGCGACACAUGUAGCGGACUAAUACUAAUAGCUCGAGGACUUAUCCAA